RNAcentral lists this ribosomal RNA (405 nucleotides) under uncultured bacterium. RNAcentral's name for it is "partial 16S ribosomal RNA". It matches the Rfam family "Bacterial small subunit ribosomal RNA", at positions 30 to 526 of the family's 1533-position model. The record is from RNAcentral.
AUUGAACGCUAGCGGGAUGCUUUACACAUGCAAGUCGAACGUGUGGCGGACGUGUGUGUCAUGUAUCUGAACGUGCCCAGUAGCGGGGGAUAACUACUCGAAAGAGUGCUUAAUACCCCAUACUAUUGGAGUGGCCGAUAUCGGAUUAGCUAGUUGUUGGGGUAAAGGCUCACCAAGGCCACGAUACGUAGCCGGUUUGAGAGGAUGACCAGCCACACUGGGACUGAGACACGGGCCAGACUCCUACGGGAGGCAGCAGUGGGGAAUUUUGGACAAUGGGGGAAACCCUGAUCCAGCCAUCCCGCGUGUAUGAGAAGGCCUUCGGGUUGUAAAGUACUUUUGGCGGGGAAGCGGUAUCUGCAGAAUAAGCACCGGCUAACUACGUGCCAGCAGCCGCGGUAAUAC